GAUGAAGAACGUAGUGAAAUGCGAUACGUAAUGUGAAUUGCGGAAUUCAGUGAAUCAUCGAAUCUUUGAACGCAUAUUGCGCUCUCUGGUAUUCCGGAGAGCAUGCUUGUUUGAGUAUCAGUAAACACCUCAACUUCCAUAUCUUUUUUGAAAUGGGAGUUGGACUUGAGUGAUCCCAACGCUUUUCCUCACCGAAAAGUGGCGGGUUACUUGAAAUGCAGGUGCAGCUGGACUUUUCUCUGAGCUAUAAGCAUAUCUAUUUAGUCUGCCUAAAAAACAGAUUAUUACCUUUGCUGCAGCUAACAUAAAGGAGAUUAGUUCUUGUGCUGACUGAUGCAGGAUUCACAAAGACAGGCUUCGGCCGACUUUGUAAACUCGAUCUCAAAUCAAGUAAGACUACCCGCUGAACUUAAGCAUAUCAAUAAGCGGAGGA
This 433-nucleotide unclassified non-coding RNA is filed under the name soil metagenome. Its description in RNAcentral is "partial contains 5.8S ribosomal RNA, internal transcribed spacer 2, and large subunit ribosomal RNA". The stretch from base 1 to 120 matches the Rfam family "5.8S ribosomal RNA", at positions 35 to 154 of the family's 154-position model. The record is from RNAcentral.